Molecule: long non-coding RNA, 233 nt
Filed under: Elaeis guineensis (African oil palm)
Lineage: Eukaryota; Viridiplantae; Streptophyta; Magnoliopsida; Arecales; Arecaceae
Description: long non-coding RNA (EGUI_LNC039368)
Source: RNAcentral
AAGGAAGGGCUUCUCUCUUCUCACACCUCUCUCUCUCUUUCUCUCUUCUCUCAAUCUGAUUUGUAUGCUAUGCAUCCAUAGGUAGAGACCCUCUCUAUUUAUAGAUAAAUCUCUUAACUCAAUAAGUAUAAAACUCCUAAUUCAAACAUGCUUUGAAUCAAUCCAAUACUCAUGAAAGAAGGACUCCUACAUAAGAUAGAAUUAUCAUCAUAUAUGACAACCACAUUGCACCC